UAUGACCAGCUCCAGAUCUAUGCUAAGGGGAAAAACUUGGGUGAAUUCUGUGGAAAGCAAAGGCCUCCAGACCUUGACACCAGCAGCAAUGCAGUGGAUCUGCUGUUCUUCACAGAUGAGUCAGGGGACAGCCGAGGCUGGAAGCUGCACUACACCACUGAAAUCAUCAAGUGCCCCCAGCCCAAGGCUCUGGAUGAGUUCACC
Mus pahari (shrew mouse) is the source of this 204-nucleotide long non-coding RNA. RefSeq lists it as uncharacterized. The record is from RefSeq and is a predicted model, not a curated record. Lineage: Eukaryota; Metazoa; Chordata; Mammalia; Rodentia; Muridae. The transcript has 3 exons.